RNAcentral lists this microRNA precursor (71 nucleotides) under Notamacropus eugenii (tammar wallaby). RNAcentral describes it as "miRNA (ENSMEUG00000016898.1)". Lineage: Eukaryota; Metazoa; Chordata; Mammalia; Diprotodontia; Macropodidae. The record is from RNAcentral.
UGUGUGUGUGUGUGUGUGUGUGUGUGUGUGUGUGUGUGUGUGUGGUAUGUGGGUACACACACAUGCAUACA